Long non-coding RNA from Rosa rugosa (rugosa rose), 693 nucleotides. RefSeq lists it as uncharacterized. NCBI's taxonomy places the organism in Eukaryota, Viridiplantae, Streptophyta, Magnoliopsida, Rosales, Rosaceae. The transcript is spliced from 3 exons. The record is from RefSeq and is a predicted model, not a curated record.
UCGAGUUACAGACCACCUCUUUAUGUGAUUCUUGGCUUAGUGAGUUCUUCUUGAAGUUCUGAACAACUCUCCAGAAGGAAUCGAAGCGUUUCGUUGAAGUUUUUACGUCGAAACUCAAGCUCGCCGGAUUCUGGAAUUUUUCCGACCACCGAAGCUUUCGAUCGGUAUAUCUCGAGCUACAGACCAUAUUUUUCUGUGAUUCUUGAACCAAUGAGUUCACCUUGAGUUUCUUAACAACUCUCUAGAAGGGAUCGAAGCCUGAAAUUGAAGUUUUGACGUCGAAAUCAAGCCUUGCCGGAUUCUGCAAAUUUCGCCGGAUUCUGGAAAUUUUCCGGCCACCUCGACUGUUUUAGGUGAUUGACGGUCUCCCUUGGGUGAGCGAUUUCGGUGUGUAUUGUGUUAAACUGAAGACGCAGCGGGAAUAUCGAGCGGGUAAUCCUGCAGGUCAGGAGAAUCAGGGCGGUGAUCGAGCCGGUUAGAGUAUUUGUUAUAGUUAUACAGCAUUUGUAAUAGUGAGGUGAGUUAAGCUCAUUGAGCCUUAGAAUUUGAUUUGGUGAGAGUGUGUUGUAAUAAUUAACUUGAGGAUUUGAUUUAUUGUAAUAUUGAGAGGUGUGAAGUGUGGUUGUUUUGAGAAAAAAAUUCAGGUUGUAUUUAUGUGAGUUGUAUUAAUUCAUGUUUCGGAUUUGGAUUUGU